RNAcentral lists this ribosomal RNA (468 nucleotides) under uncultured bacterium. Its description in RNAcentral is "partial 16S ribosomal RNA". It matches the Rfam family "Bacterial small subunit ribosomal RNA", at positions 28 to 507 of the family's 1533-position model. The record is from RNAcentral.
GACGAACGCUGGCGGCGUGCUUAACACAUGCAAGUCGAACGGAAAGGCCCUGCUUUUGUGGGGUGCUCGAGUGGCGAACGGGUGAAUAACACGUGAGUAACCUGCCCUUGACUUGGGGAUAACUUGAGGAAACUGGGGCUAAUACCGGAUAGGAGCUCCUGCGGCAUGGUGGGGGUUGGAAAGUUUGGGCGGUUGGGGAUGGACUCGCGGCUUAUCAGCUUGUUGGUGGGGUAGUGGCUUACCAAGGCUUUGACGGGUAGCCGGCCUGAGAGGGUGACCGGCCACAUUGGGACUGAGAUACGGCCCAGACUCCUACGGGAGGCAGCAGUGGGGAAUAUUGCACAAUGGGCGGAAGCCUGAUGCAGCAACGCCGCGUGCGGGAUGACGGCCUUCGGGUUGUAAACCGCUUUCGCCUGUGACGAAGCGUGAGUGACGGUAAUGGGCAAAGAAGCACCGGCUAACUACGUG